RNAcentral lists this long non-coding RNA (1559 nucleotides) under Drosophila guanche. The record is from RNAcentral. Lineage: Eukaryota; Metazoa; Arthropoda; Insecta; Diptera; Drosophilidae.
AUUUUAUUUUAUUUUGUUUUUUUGUUUCUUUGUAUUUCUGCUUCUGUGCUUCUCUUCUGUUGGCCCUCGAGUUGCAAGACCAUUGGAUUGCUUUUUGUUCAGCAGUUAAUUCAGUUAUUUCAUUAGUAAAAAUGUUAAAUAAUAUUUGCCAACUGAAGCAUUACAAACGUUAGUUCAAAUACCCAUAACUGACAACAGUUUCAUGGGAAGAAGACGACGACGACGACAAAACUGGGCAACGGACGAAUGCAUUUUUUUUUUGCGAAAUGGCAAAUCGACUUCAGAUUACCCGCAUUUGCACAAACACAUAUGUAAGUAUGAAUUGAUUGCAAAAUAUAAUGAAUGCCCAGGCCUGAGUAGUUAUUCAGAAAGAAUCACCAAGCGAGACCUAAAGCUAUUCGAUUCCAUUACCAUCAUGGAAAAAAAAACCACCCACGGUUCUCAUGAGGUCGCUGAUCUUAUCGGAUACGAUGCGAUCCAAUCCGACUGCUUCCCACAUCCACAUGGCGAAAAACUUUCAUUUGAGUCGCAUAAUCAAACGCUCAUCUGGCUUCCCUCUUCCGGUUGGUGGUGACUGAGCCACCUGAGCCCGCCACAGCCACCGGGGAUGAGGCUGAUCUUCAUGGGGGUUUUCGUAAUGCUGCUGCAGACGACGACGACGACGACGACGACGACCCCGACCAUUGACGAAAUCUCCGGCGUUGCGAAUGGCGAACCAUUACGGUAUCAGGGCUCUGAGUCCACUCCAAUCGUUCAUUGGACCGCUGGUCCGCUCUCGUCUCUCGUUUCUGAUCGCUGGACCGCCACUGGUCACUGGAAUUAGGACAAGUAUGGGAACAUAAUCAGAAAGUCUCAAGCGAGCAGUACUUGUACAUAGACUAUUUGCCACAGUUGACGGCUUAGGUUGCUGCCAGCCAUGCUGCCAAUUAAUAGAAUUAAAACAGAACACAGAGCACACAGCUCUUACUGUACUCCAGUUUUAGUACGGGUUUUUUGUCGUCUUAUUUCCAUUGCUGAAUUGUGUAGUAGUACUCAGGUUUGGGUCGGGUACUCUGUUGUCUGCUGUGACCGAACUAGCCAGCAAAAUUACAGCCAAAACCAACAACAACAAAUUAAAGAAAGAAACAGCGAAAUAUAUAUGUAUGUAUGUAUACAAAAACCAAGCUAUUUUACGUCAACAGUUGCACCGCGAGGUUUCAUCGAAGAGUUAUACGGUAUAACUUAUACCAAAGAAACUCACUCUGCAUUUGUUAUGUUUUUUUUAUCGUGUCAAAGAUUAAUUCAACACUAUUGCUUGUAUUUAUGGAUGUGUUAAAUAAGUUUAUUGAAUACACCAAUUAAGAUGGUCAUAAAAACAAAAAAUGUGUUGCCCGAAACUCAACAAUUAUAAAUGCUCAAAUUUAACCUACAAAACAGGAAGACAAAUGGAAGCGUGUGUUUUUUUUUUGCUCUUGUUACUAAUUAAACUAAAAGUAGUCUUAAGAGAAACAUAUACUCACAAAUCAUUGAAGUGAUAACGAACAUGAAUGUUUCAACAUGCGUAAAGUUUAUACAUAAAU